This 253-nucleotide ribosomal RNA is filed under the name uncultured prokaryote. RNAcentral's name for it is "partial 16S ribosomal RNA". It matches the Rfam family "Bacterial small subunit ribosomal RNA", at positions 524 to 776 of the family's 1533-position model. The record is from RNAcentral.
UACGUAGGGUGCGAGCGUUAAUCGGAAUUACUGGGCGUAAUGCGUGCGCAGGCGAUUCGUCGUGUCCGAUGUGAAAGCCCCGGGCUCAACCUGGGAAUGGCAUUGGAAACUGGCGAGCUUGAGUGUGGCAGAGGGGGGUGGAAUUCCGCGUGUAGCAGUGAAAUGCGUAGAUAUGCGGAGGAACACCGAUGGCGAAGGCAGUCCCCUGGGCCUGCACUGACGCUCAUGCACGAAAGCGUGGGGAGCAAACAGG